CCUACGGGAGGCAGCAGUGGGGAAUUUUGGACAAUGGGCGCAAGCCUGAUCCAGCCAUGCCGCGUGAGUGAAGAAGGCCUUCGGGUUGUAAAGCUCUUUCGGUGGGGAAGAAAUUGCAUGGGUUAAUACCCUGUGUAGAUGACGGUACCUGGAGAAGAAGCACCGGCUAACUACGUGCCAGCAGCCGCGGUAAU
This 194-nucleotide ribosomal RNA is filed under the name uncultured bacterium. RNAcentral describes it as "partial 16S ribosomal RNA". It matches the Rfam family "Bacterial small subunit ribosomal RNA", at positions 338 to 524 of the family's 1533-position model. The record is from RNAcentral.